GUAUACCCUGCACUAAAGCUUUGUAGGUGAAGCUUUGGAAGUGAAGCUUUGAAGCUAGAGCUCUGUAAAUGAAGCUUUCAAAGUUGGAGGUUUUGUAAAUGAAGCUUUUGAAGCUAGAGCUCUGUAAAUGAAGCUUUUGAAGCUGAUUGACAUGAGUGAUGUUCAUGAAUGUUUAUGUUGAUUGACAUGAGUGAUGCUCAUGGAUGUUGUCAUGAGUGAUGCUUAUGAAUGUUAACAUGAGUGAUGCUCAUGAAUGUUGACAUGAAUGAUUGUCAUGAAUGUUUAUGUAUGAUUGUCAUGAGUGAUGCUCAUGUAUAAUUUGGAGUA
RNAcentral lists this long non-coding RNA (327 nucleotides) under Malus domestica (apple). Its description in RNAcentral is "long non-coding RNA (MDOM_LNC014872)". The record is from RNAcentral. Lineage: Eukaryota; Viridiplantae; Streptophyta; Magnoliopsida; Rosales; Rosaceae.